RNAcentral lists this ribosomal RNA (460 nucleotides) under uncultured bacterium. Its description in RNAcentral is "partial 16S ribosomal RNA". It matches the Rfam family "Bacterial small subunit ribosomal RNA", at positions 338 to 795 of the family's 1533-position model. The record is from RNAcentral.
CCUACGGGUGGCAGCAGUGAGGAAUAUUGGUCAAUGGACGAUAGUCUGAACCAGCCAAGUAGCGUGAAGGAUGACUGCCCUAUGGGUUGUAAACUUCUUUUAUAUGGGAAUAAAACGUUCCACGUGUGGGAUUUUGUAUGUACCAUAUGAAUAAGGAUCGGCUAACUCCGUGCCAGCAGCCGCGGUAAUACGGAGGAUCCGAGCGUUAUCCGGAUUUAUUGGGUUUAAAGGGAGCGUAGGUGGAUUGUUAAGUCAGUUGUGAAAGUUUGCGGCUCAACCGUAAAAUUGCAGUUGAAACUGGCAGUCUUGAGUACAGUAGAGGUGGGCGGAAUUCGUGGUGUAGCGGUGAAAUGCUUAGAUAUCACGAAGAACUCCGAUUGCGAAGGCAGUUCACUGGACUGCAACUGACACUGAGGCUCGAAAGUGUGGGUAUCAAACAGGAUUAGAUACCCUAGUAGUC